AUGAAAUCAAGGUUAAAAGAACAUGUUGGUGAGGUUCAAGGUGAAACUUUGAAGGUUGCAUAUUUUGCUCGAUUGAAUGCCGCUAUUGACACAGCUAGACUAUUGCUGAAGCAAGGGUUGCCUUUCCGGGGACAUGAUGAGUCAAAGAACUCGCACAAUAGAGGAAACUUCUUGGAAGUUCGUGACUUCUUAGCUGAGCAUGAUCCAGUUGUACGCAAGGCUGUGGGAAAAGAUGCUGCAAAGAAUUCUCUUAUGUCUGCUCCUGAAGUCCAGAAAGAUAUUGGUGAAGGUUUUGCGCAUGUGAUAGUGCAAUCUAUUCUGAAAGAAGUUCGCAAUAAUGUGUUUUGUUUGCUUGUUGACGAGUCUAGAGAUGUCUCUGGCAAAGAACAAAUGGCUGUGGCCUUGAGGUAUGUUGAUAGUUCUGGGGAUUCUAAAGAAAGUUUUGUUGGUCUUGUGCAUGUGAAAGAAACAGCGUCUUCAUACCUCAAGAGUUCAAUUGAUUCUCUUUUUGCAAAAUAUAAAUUGAGUUACAAUCAAGUUAGAGGACAGGGGUAUGAUGGUGCUAGCAAUAUGCGAGGUCAGUUUAAUGGCCUCAAAUCAUUGAUCAUGAGAGAAAGUAGCACAGCUUAUUAUGUUCAUUGCUUUGCUCACCAGCUUCAAUUAGUUGUUGUGGCUGUGGUAAGAAAGCAUAAAGGAGUUAGUAAUUUCUUCAGCAUGAUUUCUACCUUGCUAAAUGUUGUGGGUGGAUCUUCCAAGCGAAGGGACAUGAUUAGAGAUAUUAAUCUUGAAGAAAUGAGAAAGGCUUUAGGGUGUGGACAGCUUACAAGAGGAACAUGA
Molecule: ribosomal RNA, 837 nt
Filed under: Triticum aestivum (bread wheat)
Lineage: Eukaryota; Viridiplantae; Streptophyta; Magnoliopsida; Poales; Poaceae
Description: partial small subunit ribosomal RNA
Source: RNAcentral